GGGCGAUUAGCUCAGUUGGGAGAGCACCUGCCUUACAAGCAGGGGGUCACUGGUUCGAGCCCGGUAUAGCCCACCA
This 76-nucleotide transfer RNA is filed under the name Vibrio parahaemolyticus. RNAcentral's name for it is "tRNA-Val". It matches the Rfam family "tRNA". From Rfam's summary of the family: Transfer RNA (tRNA) molecules are approximately 80 nucleotides in length. Lineage: Bacteria; Pseudomonadati; Pseudomonadota; Gammaproteobacteria; Vibrionales; Vibrionaceae. The record is from RNAcentral.